Molecule: ribosomal RNA, 253 nt
Filed under: uncultured bacterium
Lineage: Bacteria
Description: partial 16S ribosomal RNA
Rfam family: Bacterial small subunit ribosomal RNA
Source: RNAcentral
UACGGGGGGGGCAAGCGUUGUUCGGAAUUACUGGGGGUAAAGGGCUCGUAGGCGGCCAACUAAGUCCGACGUGAAAUCCCCAGGCUUAACCUGGGAACUGCGUCGGAUACUGGAUGGCUUGAAUUCGGGAGAGGGAUGCAGAAUUCCAGGUGUAGCGGUGAAAUGCGUAGAUAUCUGGAGGAAUACCGGUGGCGAAGGCGGCAUCCUGGACCGACACUGACGCUGAGGCGCGAAAGCUAGGGGAGCAAACGGG